GUCUAUGGCCAUACCACCCUGAAGGCAACCAAUCUUGUCUGAUCUUGGAAGCUAAGCAGGGUCAGGCCUGGUUAGUACUUAGGUGGGAGACUGCCUGGGAAUAUCAGGUGCUGCAGGCU
Molecule: ribosomal RNA, 119 nt
Filed under: Procavia capensis (Cape rock hyrax)
Lineage: Eukaryota; Metazoa; Chordata; Mammalia; Hyracoidea; Procaviidae
Source: RNAcentral